ACACGGUCCGAGGGGUGCUCCAGGGAGCUGAGAUGGCGCUUGCGCCGAACCCUUAGAACCUGAUCCGGGUCAUGCCGGCGAAGGGACGGAAGCCUUUAGCCUU
Molecule: non-coding RNA, 103 nt
Filed under: Polymorphum gilvum
Lineage: Bacteria; Pseudomonadati; Pseudomonadota; Alphaproteobacteria; Rhodobacterales; Paracoccaceae
Also listed under: 1 other name
Description: TPP sequence
Rfam family: TPP riboswitch aptamer (THI element)
About the family: Vitamin B(1) in its active form thiamin pyrophosphate (TPP) is an essential coenzyme that is synthesised by coupling of pyrimidine and thiazole moieties in bacteria.
Source: RNAcentral